This 93-nucleotide transfer RNA is filed under the name Pisolithus microcarpus. RNAcentral describes it as "tRNA-Glu". It matches the Rfam family "tRNA". From Rfam's summary of the family: Transfer RNA (tRNA) molecules are approximately 80 nucleotides in length. Their secondary structure includes four short double-helical elements and three loops (D, anti-codon, and T loops). RNAcentral also lists the same sequence under 1 other name. The record is from RNAcentral. Lineage: Eukaryota; Fungi; Basidiomycota; Agaricomycetes; Boletales; Pisolithaceae.
UCGGAUAUGGUGUAAUGGCUAACAUUGCCGCCUCUCACCGUGAGGGAUACGUUCAAAACGCGGCAGCUCGGGGUUCGAUUCCCCGUAUCCGAG